Molecule: long non-coding RNA, 228 nt
Filed under: Lathyrus oleraceus (garden pea)
Lineage: Eukaryota; Viridiplantae; Streptophyta; Magnoliopsida; Fabales; Fabaceae
Description: Pisum sativum (pea) long non-coding RNA (PSAT_LNC040773)
Source: RNAcentral
GGUUUUGCUUGGCUUGCUUCCUGUGCAAGUUAAGUGUGUGUGGCUUGCUCCCUGUGUGAGCCAUACUUAGGAUAGGUUGGCCCUUGUGCCAUUUAGCUAGAAACCUUAACUUAGGGAUGAUUUGCAUGAUAACAUCUAGGCUCGAGUCGUAGUCUCCCUAGUUGUGUCUCCCUCUGUUAUCUGGUUAGGCUAGGUCCUUUAUCCCUGCGUAGGGGAACUACAUCGCCC